UACGUAGGGUGCGAGCGUUAAUCGGAAUUACUGGGCGUAAAGGGUGCGCAGGCGGUUCUGUAAGACCGGUGUGAAAUCCCCGGGCUCAACCUAGGAAUUGCGCUUGUGACUGGCGGGCUCGAGUACGGUAGAGGGGGGUGGAAUUCCUGGUGUAGCAGUGAAAUGCGUAGAGAUCAGGAGGAACACCGAUGGCGAAGGCAGCCCCCUGGGCCUGUACUGACGCUCAUGCACGAAAGCGUGGGGAGCAAACAGG
This 253-nucleotide ribosomal RNA is filed under the name uncultured microorganism. RNAcentral's name for it is "partial 16S ribosomal RNA". It matches the Rfam family "Bacterial small subunit ribosomal RNA", at positions 524 to 776 of the family's 1533-position model. The record is from RNAcentral.